Molecule: ribosomal RNA, 464 nt
Filed under: uncultured bacterium
Lineage: Bacteria
Description: bacterial SSU rRNA
Rfam family: Bacterial small subunit ribosomal RNA
Source: RNAcentral
GAUGAACGCUGGCGGCGUGCUUAACACAUGCAAGUCGAACGGGAAACCUUUUAUUGAAGCUUCGGCAGAUUUAACUGGUUUCUAGUGGCGGACGGGUGAGUAACGCGUGGGUAACCUGCCUUGUACAGGGGGAUAACAGUCAGAAAUGACUGCUAAUACCGCAUAAGCGCACAGGACCGCAUGGUCCGGUGUGAAAAACUCCGGUGGUAUAAGAUGGACCCGCGUUGGAUUAGCUUGUUGGUGGGGUAACGGCCCACCAAGGCGACGAUCCAUAGCCGGCCUGAGAGGGUGAACGGCCACAUUGGGACUGAGACACGGCCCAGACUCCUACGGGAGGCAGCAGUGGGGAAUAUUGCACAAUGGGGGAAACCCUGAUGCAGCGACGCCGCGUGAAGGAAGAAGUAUCUCGGUAUGUAAACUUCUAUCAGCAGGGAAGAAAAUGACGGUACCUGACUAAGAAGCCC